RNA transcript from Homo sapiens (human), 2636 nucleotides. It is a transcript of the gene named THUMP domain 2 tRNA and snRNA guanosine methyltransferase, with no coding region annotated. The transcript is spliced from 12 exons. NCBI's taxonomy places the organism in Eukaryota, Metazoa, Chordata, Mammalia, Primates, Hominidae. The record is from RefSeq and is marked validated.
ACGUGACCCGAAGGCGCGAGGGCGCGCCUGAGCCGCCAUGUCGGAGGCGCGUGGAGAGCCAGGGUCCGGGCCUGAGGCUGGCGCCCGAUUCUUCUGCACUGCGGGUCGCGGCCUGGAGCCGUUCGUAAUGCGAGAGGUGCGGGCGCGGCUGGCGGCCACGCAGGUUGAAUAUAUUUCAGGAAAGGUUUUUUUCACCACCUGUUCUGAUUUGAAUAUGUUGAAGAAAUUAAAAUCUGCAGAAAGAUUAUUUUUGCUGAUUAAAAAGCAGUUUCCACUUAUUAUUUCUUCUGUAAGUAAAGGAAAAAUAUUUAAUGAAAUGCAAAGACUUAUAAAUGAAGAUCCAGGAAGUUGGUUGAAUGCCAUUUCAAUUUGGAAAAAUCUUCUUGAACUUGAUGCAAAAAAGGAAAAACUUUCUCAGAGAGAUGAUAACCAACUAAAAAGAAAAGUGGGAGAAAAUGAAAUCAUUGCAAAGAAAUUAAAAAUAGAACAAAUGCAAAAGAUAGAAGAGAAUAGGGACUGCCAGCUGGAAAAACAAAUAAAAGAAGAAACUCUGGAGCAAAGAGAUUUUACCACUAAAAGCGAAAAGUUUCAAGAAGAAGAAUUUCAGAAUGACAUAGAGAAAGCAAUUGAUACUCAUAAUCAGAAUGACUUGACUUUCAGAGUAUCUUGUCGCUGCAGUGGAACUAUUGGAAAGGCCUUCACUGCACAGAUGUCCUUUGUAUUUGGAAAUCCUGAUACCAUAGUCCUCAGCUUUUGGGGUUUCUCUUCAGUUCAGCUUUGUGCUUAUUCAGUGGCUACUCUGCACAGGUCCUGUACAUGGGAUUGUCACCAGGACCUAGACUGCAAAUGCACAUGAGGUCUCAGCAAUGUAGAGAAGAGCGAACACCACAAACUGUUGCCAUCACCAGACCUCAUCAGUUGGCCCUUACAAAGUUCAGUGAUGUUAAAGGCCAUUGGUCUGAAUACUUUAUCAACCUUAAAAUCAGUCAAACCCUAAAGGGAGGUAGGAAAAGUAAUUGGAAUUGCUAUUAUGAAACACUUUGGAUGGAAAGCAGACUUGAGGAAUCCACAAUUAGAGAUCUUUAUACAUCUAAAUGACAUUUACUCUGUGGUGGGGAUUCCUGUGUUCAGGGUUUCCCUAGCCAGCAGAGCUUACAUCAAGACAGCUGGACUGCGAUCUACAAUAGCGUGGGCAAUGGCAUCUCUGGCUGACAUUAAGGUACCAUAUGGCUCUGACUGAAACCUGGCUGUGCACUGAGGACUCUGCUUCCUCUGUAGACAUAUCAAGUGGUGGAUGUCUUUUCUCCCCUAUCUCGAGCACGACUGGGCCUGACAGUGGGGCUGGUGCAUUUGUUUUAGAUCCAAUGUGUGGACUUGGAACAAUACUUUUGGAAGCUGCUAAAGAAUGGCCAGAUGUGUAUUAUGUAGGUGCUGAUGUCAGCGACUCACAGUUACUAGGUACUUGGGACAAUCUGAAAGCUGCAGGCCUUGAGGAUAAAAUUGAAUUACUUAAAAUCUCUGUUAUAGAAUUGCCAUUGCCUUCAGAAAGUGUUGAUAUUAUUAUUUCUGACAUUCCAUUUGGGAAAAAGUUUAAGUUAGGAAAAGACAUCAAAAGCAUUCUACAAGAAAUGGAAAGAGUGCUUCAUGUUGGCGGAACCAUUGUAUUGUUGCUUAGUGAAGAUCACCACAGGCGCCUUACAGAUUGUAAAGAGAGCAACAUCCCUUUCAAUUCCAAGGACAGUCACACAGAUGAACCUGGAAUUAAAAAGUGCUUGAAUCCUGAAGAAAAAACUGGUGCAUUCAAGACAGCGUCAACUUCAUUCGAAGCCAGUAACCACAAAUUCUUAGACAGAAUGUCACCAUUUGGCUCCUUGGUACCAGUGGAAUGCUACAAAGUUAGCCUUGGAAAGACAGAUGCGUUCAUAUGUAAAUAUAAGAAGUCGCACUCUUCUGGACUGUAGCAGGCUUGCUGCCAUCAGCCGGGUUCAGGCCCUUGUAAGUUAGCUGUACAGCAGAAGUUUGCUGUCUCUAGGAUUCAUAUAGCACCCACAGAGCUCCAAGUAACCAAAUUCCCCCAAAGACAGGAGGUGUGGCUGAUGGGUACACAUGCUUGGUAAGAGUUUCUGCUUUAUAUUCUAAAGUACUUAAUGUUUUUGAGAAAAAAGUUAUCGAAUAUUUUUUAGACUUAAGUUUUAUCUUCUGUCAGAAUGUGAAAAGUUCUGCCCAGUUUCUGAGCAAAAACUUCAAUUUCAAAAUAAAGGUUUUCAGGGGUUCACUUAAGUGUAUCACAAUCAACACCAGACGGGAUAUUUUAACUAUCAGAUUUUCGGAAAUGUAAAAACCUUUAUGUGUAACUUCUUUUGAUAUUAAACUUGAUUUUUGAGCCUGUAAUUUUCUUCUCCAUUGGAAUGAAAAUAAUUUGUAUUUGCAAUACAUUUUAUAUGUUUAUUAUGUAAACCAACAGUGAGAAUAAUAACUGAAUUAAGCCAGUAUCCUUCAAAACAUGAUGGAAAAUGAAAUUUGCUUUUUUUCUAAAAGCAUUCAUACACUGUCACCUCGCCCUUAUUUAUAUAGAAAGUCAGUUUGUUGCUUAUGUUCACUACCUGAGAAAAAGAAACAGUAAGUUUGAGGAGAAU